RNAcentral lists this ribosomal RNA (1340 nucleotides) under Lentilactobacillus hilgardii DSM 20176 = ATCC 8290. Its description in RNAcentral is "bacterial LSU rRNA". It matches the Rfam family "Bacterial large subunit ribosomal RNA", at positions 1575 to 2925 of the family's 2925-position model. Lineage: Bacteria; Bacillati; Bacillota; Bacilli; Lactobacillales; Lactobacillaceae. The record is from RNAcentral.
AAUUUAAGUAGGGAAGCAACCCACGUCACACUGCCGAGAAAAGCUUCUAGUGAGUCAUCAACUACCCGUACCGCAAACCGACACAGGUAGUCGAGGAGAGAAUCCUCAGGUGAGCGAGUGAACUCUCGUUAAGGAACUCGGCAAAAUGACCCCGUAACUUCGGGAGAAGGGGUGCUGGCCACAUGGCCAGCCGCAGUGAAAAGGCCCAGGCGACUGUUUAUCAAAAACACAGGUUUCUGCAAAAUCGUAAGAUGACGUAUAGGGGCUGACGCCUGCCCGGUGCUGGAAGGUUAAGUGGAUGAGUUAGCUUCGGCGAAGCCCAGAAAUGAAGCCCCAGUAAACGGCGGCCGUAACUAUAACGGUCCUAAGGUAGCGAAAUUCCUUGUCGGGUAAGUUCCGACCCGCACGAAAGGCGUAACGAUCUGGGCACUGUCUCAACGAGAGACUCGGUGAAAUUGAGAUACCUGUGAAGAAGCAGGUUACCCGCGACAGGACGGAAAGACCCCAUGGAGCUUUACUGUAGCUUGAUAUUGGGUGUUGACACAGCUUGUACAGGAUAGGUAGGAGCCGUUGAAGCCGGAACGCUAGUUUCGGUGGAGGCAUUGGUGGGAUACUACCCUCGCUGUGUGAACACUCUAACCCGCGCCACUUAGCGUGGCGGGAGACAGUGUCAGGUAGGCAGUUUGACUGGGGCGGUCGCCUCCCAAACAGUAACGGAGGCGCCCAAAGGUUCCCUCAGAAUGGUUGGAAAUCAUUCGACGAGUGUAAAGGCAGAAGGGAGCUUGACUGCGAGACAGACAGGUCGAGCAGGGACGAAAGUCGGGCUUAGUGAUCCGGUGGUUCCGUAUGGAAGGGCCAUCGCUCAACGGAUAAAAGCUACCCUGGGGAUAACAGGCUUAUCUCCCCCAAGAGUCCACAUCGACGGGGAGGUUUGGCACCUCGAUGUCGGCUCAUCGCAUCCUGGGGCUGUAGUCGGUCCCAAGGGUUGGGCUGUUCGCCCAUUAAAGCGGUACGCGAGCUGGGUUCAGAACGUCGUGAGACAGUUCGGUCCCUAUCCGUCGCGGGCGUAGGAAAUUUGAGAGGAGCUGUCCUUAGUACGAGAGGACCGGGAUGGACAUACCGCUGGUGUACCAGUUGCGCCGCCAGGCGCACAGCUGGGUAGCUAUGUAUGGAUGAGAUAAACGCUGAAAGCAUCUAAGUGUGAAACUCGCCUCAAGAUGAGAUUUCCCAUUCCUAUAUGGAAGUAAGACCCCUGAGAGAUGAUCAGGUAGAUAGGUUGGAAGUGGAAGUGCAGCGAUGCACGGAGCGGACCAAUACUAAUCGGUCGAGGACUUAACCAA